CGCGCGGUCCAGGGUGGGGAGCUUUCCUCCCGCCUCGCGGCAGUCAUGCGGGGGUGGGGGCGGCACCGUGCCCCUAAGAGACCUCUAGUCAGUCGUCCGAUGGGGGACAGUGGAAACGCAUAGGCCAUGGGACAAAGCGACCUCAGCCCCACAGCGCCGCCGGGCUCCCCGCAACGCCGGGGCUUCACGGGCUCAGGCAAAGGAGCCACACCUGGAGAAGAGCAGCGAUAACAAUAACUCUACUUGUUCACGUACGAAAAUAGCUCACUUGACAGAGCUGCAUGGAGACUGGUGCCACGGAUAGUCUGUGAGCAGAAGAAGGGCUCGGGGAAUUUUCUUGGGGUUUAGAGUGCUUCAUGGUCAUCUCCAAUUCACAUUUCACCCCGGGCUGAUUCCCUGGCUCCGGUGUCAGAAUUUCUGAUUCACUCUGUCGGAGAAGGCCCAGGAAUCAGCAUUUUAAUAAACCUGUCACUGAGCAGACAGAUGCUGUGAUCCUCGCAUGGCUUCAGAACUAAGUAUGCGCCCAGUUAGGACCUCCUGACCCAAUGAGGAUUUCGCUAUGUGCUCUUCAUGCCUUCACAGCCGUGCAGCUCGAGUGAUGAAGACGCCACAUCUGUACAUAGUUCAGGGUCAAAAACACUCAUGCGUCACCGGCAAGUGCCUGGCACUGUGCUGGGUGUUGGCAACACAAAGAUGAAGGAAACUUUCUUGCCAGUUCACUUGACUUUACCCCUUGAGACGAUCAGUGACAUUGCCCAGAGGAGAAAGGUCUAGUUGUGGAGGACGUUGCUUUACUGGCCCAAGUUGGC
This is a long non-coding RNA of Hipposideros armiger (great roundleaf bat), 809 nucleotides long. RefSeq lists it as uncharacterized. NCBI's taxonomy places the organism in Eukaryota, Metazoa, Chordata, Mammalia, Chiroptera, Hipposideridae. The transcript has 5 exons. The record is from RefSeq and is a predicted model, not a curated record.